Molecule: long non-coding RNA, 516 nt
Organism: Suricata suricatta (meerkat)
Lineage: Eukaryota; Metazoa; Chordata; Mammalia; Carnivora; Herpestidae
Exons: 3
Source: RefSeq, a predicted model, not a curated record
CAGCCUUCCACAUUGGGAAAUGUGGUUAAUCAGAGGCUUCUUGAGAACAGGCUACAAUGAGAUAAGUAAGCAAACUUAUAGAGGGAAGUAUUAGCCCCGAGGUCACAUAUAGCAUAUGGCGGAGCGAAGACCCAGAGCCUGAUGUGAUUGGCCUCAAAGCCACUGUGCUGUCUAUUCCCUAAAUCUUCAAAAUAUUACUUUAGAAUUACAAAGAAAAUAUAAAUAAAAGACUGAGCGAUGCUAGAACCAAUAACAUAAUGUUGGACCUUUCAAAGACAAGAAUGGCUGACAUUCAACUCAAUUCAGCCAUUGAGGUCAGCUAGAGAUCCUGACCAACGUUAGUGACCUGCUGUCCCUGCAGUGGCUCCAUGUCUGGAGGAGACCCAAGGAGACCCCUUUCAUCGUUUCUCUCUGCACCUAUAUACCUCCUUUGUAGGUUUGUUUUUGGGGGUUUUUUUUGGCUGUGACUCAUUAUUAUAGAAAGCUCUCAUAAAAAUAAUGUUACAUUUAGCUUCA